Molecule: long non-coding RNA, 243 nt
Organism: Molossus molossus (Pallas's mastiff bat)
Lineage: Eukaryota; Metazoa; Chordata; Mammalia; Chiroptera; Molossidae
Exons: 3
Source: RefSeq, a predicted model, not a curated record
GGAUGCCUGAACACCGGAAGCGCUGAGGCGGCAAACUACAAACUGAAAGGAAACGUCGGAGAAGAAAUCAGUGUUGGAACAAACGCCAACCAAAUGCCGUGUGAGGGAUCAGUGAUGACGCUGCCCAUCUCGCCUAGAGGAGGGGCCCUCGUUCCCAUACAGCACGAAAUACUCAGGAAGAGGAGGUUAGGCCACCGACAGACACAAGGGGGAGACCGUGUGCGAGCACAGAGAAAUGAUGAC